AUUGAACGCUGGCGGAAUGCUUUACACAUGCAAGUCGAACGGCAGCACGGACUUCGGUCUGGUGGCGAGUGGCGAACGGGUGAGUAAUAUAUCGGAACGUGCCCAGUCGUGGGGGAUAACGUAGUGAAAAUUACGCUAAUACCGCAUACGAUCUAUGGAUGAAAGCGGGGGAUCGCAAGACCUCGCGCGAUUGGAGCGGCCGAUAUCAGAUUAGGUAGUUGGUGAGGUAAAGGCUCACCAAGCCGACGAUCUGUAGCUGGUCUGAGAGGACGACCAGCCACACUGGAACUGGGACACGGUCCAGACUCCUACGGGAGGCAGCAGUGGGGAAUUUUGGACAAUGGACGCAAGUCUGAUUCAGCCAUUCCGCGUGCAGGACGAAGGCCUUCGGGUUGUAAACUGCUUUUGUACAGAACGAAAAGGUCUCUAUUAAUACUAGGGGCUCAUGACGGUACUGUAAGAAUAAGCACCGGCUAACUACGUGCCAGCCGCCGCCGUAA
This 500-nucleotide ribosomal RNA is filed under the name uncultured bacterium. RNAcentral describes it as "partial 16S ribosomal RNA". It matches the Rfam family "Bacterial small subunit ribosomal RNA", at positions 30 to 523 of the family's 1533-position model. The record is from RNAcentral.